GGUGGCANNUUAUUUUUUAGAGGAACCUGUUUUUUAAUCGNCAAUCCACGUUAAUNUUAACUUUAAUUAUAAAUUUAUAUACCGCCAUNUAAAAAAUUAAUUUUAUAAUAAUAUUUUUAAUAAAAAAUAAAAAGUUAGGUCAAGGUGUNAUCUAUANUAAAGUAAAUAAUGGGUUACAUAAAAAUAAUU
Molecule: ribosomal RNA, 189 nt
Filed under: Pardosa amentata
Lineage: Eukaryota; Metazoa; Arthropoda; Arachnida; Araneae; Lycosidae
Description: partial small subunit ribosomal RNA
Source: RNAcentral